GUUUACUAAGUGGUAGGAGAGCGUUCUAUUUGCGUCGAAGGUAUACCGGUAAGGAGUGCUGGAGCGAAUAGAAGUGAGCAUGCAGGCAUGAGUAGCGAUAAUUAAUGUGAGAAUCAUUAACGCCGUAAACCCAAGGUUUCCUACGCGAUGCUCGUCAUCGUAGGGUUAGUCGGGUCCUAAGUCGAGUCCGAAAGGGGUAGACGAUGGCAAAUUGGUUAAUAUUCCAAUACCAACAUUAGUGUGCGAUGGAAGGACGCUUAGGGCUAAGGGGGCUAGCGGAUGGAAGUGCUAGUCUAAGGUCGUAGGAGGUUAUACAGGCAAAUCCGUAUAACAAUACUCCGAGAACUGAAAGGCUUUUUGAAGUCUUUGGAUGGAUAGAAGAACCCCUGAUGCCGUCGAGCCAAGAAAAGUUUCUAAGUUUAGCUAAUGUUGCCCGUACCGUAAACCGACACAGGUGGGUGGGAUGAGUAUUCUAAGGCGCGUGGAAGAACUCUCUUUAAGGAACUCUGCAAAAUAGCACCGUAUCUUCGGUAUAAGGUGUGGUUAGCUUUGUAUUAGGAUUUACUCCGAAAGCAAGGAAACUUACAACAAAGAGUCCCUCCCGACUGUUUACCAAAAACACAGCACUCUGCUAACUCGUAAGAGGAUGUAUAGGGUGUGACGCCUGCCCGGUGCUCGAAGGUUAAUUGAUGGGGUUAGCAUUAGCGAAGCUCUUGAUCGAAGCCCGAGUAAACGGCGGCCGUAACUAUAACGGUCCUAAGGUAGCGAAAUUCCUUGUCGGUUAAAUACCGACCUGCAUGAAUGGCGUAACGAGAUGGGAGCUGUCUCAAAGAGGGAUCCAGUGAAAUUGUAGUGGAGGUGAAAAUUCCUCCUACCCGCGGCAAGACGGAAAGACCCCGUGGACCUUUACUACAGCUUGACACUGCUACUUGGAUAAGAAUGUGCAGGAUAGGUGGGAGGCUUUGAGUAUAUGACGCCAGUUGUAUAUGAGCCAUUGUUGAGAUACCACUCUUUCUUAUUUGGGUAGCUAACCAGCUUGAGUUAUCCUCAAGUGGGACAAUGUCUGGUGGGUAGUUUGACUGGGGCGGUCGCCUCCCAAAUAAUAACGGAGGCUUACAAAGGUUGGCUCAGAACGGUUGGAAAUCGUUCGUAGAGUAUAAAGGUAUAAGCCAGCUUAACUGCAAGACAUACAAGUCAAGCAGAGACGAAAGUCGGUCUUAGUGAUCCGGUGGUUCUGUGUGGAAGGGCCAUCGCUCAAAGGAUAAAAGGUACCCCGGGGAUAACAGGCUGAUCUCCCCCAAGAGCUCACAUCGACGGGGAGGUUUGGCACCUCGAUGUCGGCUCAUCGCAUCCUGGGGCUGGAGCAGGUCCCAAGGGUAUGGCUGUUCGCCAUUUAAAGCGGUACGCGAGCUGGGUUCAGAACGUCGUGAGACAGUUCGGUCCCUAUCUGCCGUGGGCGUAAGAAGAUUGAAGAGAUUUGACCCUAGUACGAGAGGACCGGGUUGAACAAACCACUGGUGUAGCUGUUGUUCUGCCAAGAGCAUCGCAGCGUAGCUAAGUUUGGAAAGGAUAAACGCUGAAAGCAUCUAAGCGUGAAGCCAACUCUAAGAUGAAUCUUCUCUAAGCUCUCUAGAAGACUACUAGUUUGAUAGGCUGGGUGUGUAAUGGAUGAAAGUCCUUUAGCUGACCAGUACUAAUAGAGCGUUUGGCUUAUCUUUAAUAAAGCAU
RNAcentral lists this ribosomal RNA (1728 nucleotides) under Campylobacter coli. RNAcentral's name for it is "partial 23S ribosomal RNA". It matches the Rfam family "Bacterial large subunit ribosomal RNA", at positions 1216 to 2925 of the family's 2925-position model. Lineage: Bacteria; Pseudomonadati; Campylobacterota; Epsilonproteobacteria; Campylobacterales; Campylobacteraceae. The record is from RNAcentral.